Panonychus citri (citrus red mite) is the source of this 546-nucleotide long non-coding RNA. RefSeq lists it as uncharacterized. Lineage: Eukaryota; Metazoa; Arthropoda; Arachnida; Trombidiformes; Tetranychidae. The transcript has 2 exons. The record is from RefSeq and is a predicted model, not a curated record.
UGCUCACUUUCGUCACGUCUGUUUGUUAAUUGUCACCCUAACGUCUUUAGCUUUUGACCUUUUCAAGGGUAUUCAGUUACUUCCGUUUCCUCUUAAUCUCACAACAAUAAGAUCAUCGACUUUAAAGUGAUGUCCAGUUUUCACUCUUCAGCUCUCCUAAUUCUCCAUGAAAUGUUACCAUGGUUUCGUUUUUUGAUAAUUAUCUUGUUAAUCAUGCGACUCAUAUUUCAUUUUUCAUCUUCUCAUGAAACAUGACCAUGAAUCUUAUCGUUGAAACAUUGUUACAUUUUCCAACAACUUCCGUUUUCUCAACAAUCAGAUGAAACUUCAUCUUCCGUCUACCGUGAUGAUAAUUUCCGUUUCAAAGAAUCUUAAAUGAUGAUUAUAUAAUUUGUGAUCUUAUUCUCCGUUUACAUUACAUGAGAAAAAAAAUUCUAAUGAUUUGAAAUGACUGAAUCUGAACUCUUCCUCCGAUUCUCCAUGAAAUUAAUCCUCAUUCACCAGAUUUACAGUUAACUACUUGUCCAUUGACAGGUAAACAUUUAG